AUUGAACGCUGGCGGCAUGCCUUACACAUGCAAGUCGAACGGUAACGGGCCUUCGGGUGCCGACGAGUGGCGAACGGGUGAGUAAUACAUCGGAACGUGCCCGAUCGUGGGGGAUAACGAGGCGAAAGCUUUGCUAAUACCGCAUACGAUCUACGGAUGAAAUCAGGGGACCGCAAGGCCUUGCGCGGACGGAGCGGCCGAUGGCAGAUUAGGUAGUUGGUGGGAUAAAAGCUUACCAAGCCGACGAUCUGUAGCUGGUCUGAGAGGAUGAUCAGCCACACUGGGACUGAGACACGGCCCAGACUCCUACGGGAGGCAGCAGUGGGGAAUUUUGGACAAUGGGCGCAAGCCUGAUCCAGCCAUGCCGCGUGCAGGAUGAAGGCCUUCGGGUUGUAAACUGCUUUUGUACGGAACGAGAAGCCUUCUUCUAAUACAGGAGGGUCAUGACGGUACCGUAAGAAUAAGCACCGGCUAACUACGUGCCAGCCGCCGCCGUAA
Molecule: ribosomal RNA, 498 nt
Filed under: uncultured bacterium
Lineage: Bacteria
Description: partial 16S ribosomal RNA
Rfam family: Bacterial small subunit ribosomal RNA
Source: RNAcentral